CCAUUAUAGUGCAGACUGAAUGUUGCAUACUGUUGUUGUUUUAUUCAUUACUAUAUUAGUGAGUUUGAUUUCAAUCCCAUACUUAGAUGUAAUACCAUUUUAUUAUGAUUUCUUUAACUAUAAAUUGCUUUUUUUUUCCUUUUUUUUCUGUUCAUGUCAUUUCCACUAUUUUGAACUAUUAGUAAUGGUUUUUUUUAACUGAAUGCAAAUGAUAAUGGCGAUAUUCCACACCAAAUGCAAAUAAUGAUUAGCAAGUCAAAUGCAAAUACUUUUGUCAUUGGUGUCUCUGUUCUUCCUUUCUCCUCCCUAGUUUUUUCACACCAUAAUUUAUUUUUCUGAAAUUGUAGGUAGUGCCGAAUGAUUUAUUUUUUUGUUAAUUGGAUGAUUUAUAUUUUACUAUUCAUAUUCUUGUGGUCCAGUAAUUGAUUUUGUUUUUGAUAUUUUACUUUAUUUCGAUACAAAAUGUUUAAUUAUUUUUUAUUUCUAUCAAGUGUCGAUAAAUACUGUUAAUCGUUUUUUCAGACAUCCCCAAUGUUUCACUCUACUAUUUUUCAGACUCCCCCAAUCAAUUCUUCACUCUUUAAAUCAGGUUUUUCAAUUAUCGAAAUGGGUAUCAUUUGUACCUAAACUUCUAGUUAUUGAAUUAUCGAAAUAUACAUAAUGCACUAUGCACUAUGUACUAUGUACUAUGAACAUGAAAUAUGAAAUAUGCACUAUGCACUAUCGUCAAUUUUUUUUAAGUUUAUCAUUUUCCCUACCUAUGCACAUUACUAUUUGUGGAUAUCUUUUCAUUUAAUCCUAUAGUUAUUUUUCCGAAAUAUUAAGAACCUUCAACUGCUUACUGUUGAAAAUUAUUUCUUUUAUGUAGGUCGUUAUUUAAGAAGAUGAAAUUCGUAUGAUGACAACGUUUGACGAUUGAGAUGAUUUGAUAUAUAGAAUUUGGUAUAUUUGUUUGUGUACUAGGGUAUUAUGAAUAAUUGUUUUGGAAUAUUGAUCGUCAUUGGAAAUGAAUCUUUCUUAUUUUUUGGAUGGAUGCCCUCCGUUCCCGUAUCCCUGUUCCAUGCAAUAUGCACUAUUCAAUUUGCACUACGUCAUGUAAUAUGUAUAAUGAGCGCUGAACUAUGUUGAUAUGCACUGUACGUACUAUGCACUAUUAACUUUGCACUAUGUACUAUGCACUUUUGGGAUAUGGAAAAUGCACAAUGCACUAUGUACAAUAAUAGUACUGUUCACUACGCCCAUUCAAUUAGUACGAUUCUAGAUCGAAUGUUAGUAUCGAAUAUUUAAAGUGCACUAUGCACUAUGUACUGUACGUAGAGCACUAUGUACUGUUGACUGUG
This 1340-nucleotide long non-coding RNA is filed under the name Zostera marina. RNAcentral describes it as "long non-coding RNA (ZMAR_LNC005441)". Lineage: Eukaryota; Viridiplantae; Streptophyta; Magnoliopsida; Alismatales; Zosteraceae. The record is from RNAcentral.